This is a long non-coding RNA of Amblyraja radiata (thorny skate), 1159 nucleotides long. RefSeq lists it as uncharacterized. The transcript has 3 exons. Lineage: Eukaryota; Metazoa; Chordata; Chondrichthyes; Rajiformes; Rajidae. The record is from RefSeq and is a predicted model, not a curated record.
AAGGGGAAUGCAGGAUGAGAAAAGAAGAGGGCGUAUCACUUCACCUCACUUCACCUCACAUCCUGGCCCCAUACUUCCCCCAUCUCCUUCUACUCCUACAAAUGCAUCGCAAUUCACCCACCCGUGCCCCUGGAUAAUAGCUUUCGGGACGCGACCAGUGAACUCAGGACGUUAGACGGGAACUGCACUAACGGCAGGAUGGAACCAAACGAAAAUCGCCUGACACUGUGUGCAGUGAACUCCCGAACCAAGCAGCAGGCCCGAGUCUUCAAAUUACAUUUUCGUGGUAAAACAUGUGAUAAAUAAAAGACAGUUCGGAUUGUAGCCCAAUUAUGCGGCAGGCGUAAAGUAAAAGUAGGCAUUCUCUCACUGUGUUUCUGCCUAUUGCAUUGUGAUGCCAGGUAUUGUUUUCCCAAAGAAAGCUGUGCAUUUUAUUUGGAUUCAUGUAAUAUGAUACCAUACAUUGAUUAAAAGCAACGGAGAGUAUAAUCAUGAAUAUAUAUUUAUUUUGAGCCUUUGGGCUGCGUCGGAAAUAAUGAAUGGACAUAUAUUUUAGUUUAAUCUAGGUCGAAACCUUUAAAAAUAAUUUAAAUGGAUGCCAGAAAUUUAAGAUACGUGGACCCUUUUGAUGUAGUAUUGUAUUUUGCAGGUCGACUUUGGAGUUUCACAAUUUUAAAAAAAACGUGAUGUCUGAGGACAAAAGAAUUUUACCUUUGACCUUCAAUGAAAAGAAAUCGUGACAGCGAAGUGGACUUCAUGGCAUUUCAUUUCGCCCAGUGUCGCGGGGAACGCGGGGACUGACACCCGGUAUUGGAUGUAUCGGUCACCGCUUGCAUUUUUCCAAACACGAUGACACUUUCUUUUUAAUGUUAAGAAUUUAAGACGCUGGGUAUUUGUUGCUUGUAUUUAAUGCUCGAGUGCGAUGUAAGUUAGUUUUGUACAUAUGGUCAAAUAAAGCUGGGAAGUCGGGCCUGGGAUUUAUAACCAGGAUUGGUAAUGAUCAGGAUCGCUGUAUCGGUUUGCGUUGGAAGAACACGACCAUUUGUAUUUGGACGAAAAACUGGCGCUUUUGUAAUUGUAACUAAAGUGAAGUAUGCGCGACCCGAAUAAAGUACCAUUGCCUAUUAAAAUUAAUGAAUAUGCAGUCGGCAAUACCAGA